Molecule: ribosomal RNA, 296 nt
Filed under: Testudo hermanni boettgeri
Lineage: Eukaryota; Metazoa; Chordata; Testudines; Testudinidae
Description: partial 12S ribosomal RNA
Source: RNAcentral
CCCCUAGAGGAGCCUGUUCUAUAAUCGAUAAUCCACGAUCUACCUCACCAUCUCUUGCCAAUACCGCCUAUAUACCGCCGUCACCAGCCUACCCUAUGAAGGAUAUAAAAGUAGGCAAAAUCGCACAACAGCUAACAAGUCAGGUCAAGGUGUAGCUUACUGAGAUGGAAGAAAUGGGCUACAUUUUCUAAACUAGAAAUCAUUUCACGGAAAGAACUAUGAAACAAGUCCUAUAAGCAGGAUUUAGCAGUUAAUAGGGAUCAGAAUGCCCAAUUUAAGCCGGUCCUAAGGUACGC